Molecule: ribosomal RNA, 522 nt
Filed under: uncultured bacterium
Lineage: Bacteria
Description: bacterial SSU rRNA
Rfam family: Bacterial small subunit ribosomal RNA
Source: RNAcentral
AGAGUUUGAUCCUGGCUCAGGAUGAACGCUAGCGACAGGCUUAACACAUGCAAGUCGAGGGGCAGCGGGGAAGUGCUUGCGCUUCCGCCGGCGACCGGCGCACGGGUGAGUAACACGUAUGGAACCUGCCCGCAGCAGGGGGAUAAUCGGAAGAAAUUCCGUCUAAUACCGCGUAACAACCCAUUGGGGCAUCCCAUUGGGUUUAAAGGUUUACCGGCUGCGGAUGGCCAUGCGGCGCAUUAGCUAGUUGGCGGGGCAACGGCCCACCAAGGCGACGAUGCGUAGGGGUUCUGAGAGGAAGGUCCCCCACACUGGUACUGAGACACGGACCAGACUCCUACGGGAGGCAGCAGUGAGGAAUAUUGGUCAAUGGCCGAAGGGCUGAACCAGCCAAGUCGCGUGAGGGAAGGCGGCCCUACGGGUUGUAAACCUCUUUUGCCGGGGAGCAAAGGCGGUCACUGGUGACCGGAUGAGAGUACCCGGAGAAAAAGCAUCGGCUAACUCCGUGCCAGCAGCCGCGGU